AUUGAACGCUGGCGGCAUGCCUUACACAUGCAAGUCGAACGGCAGCACGGGUGCUUGCACCUGGUGGCGAGUGGCGAACGGGUGAGUAAUACAUCGGAACGUACCUUAUCGUGGGGGAUAACGCAGCGAAAGCUGUGCUAAUACCGCAUACGCCCUGAGGGGGAAAGCGGGGGAUCGCAAGACCUCGCGCGAUUAGAGCGGCCGAUGCCUGAUUAGCUUGUUGGUGGGGUAAAAGCCCACCAAGGCGGCGAUCAGUAGCUGGUCUGAGAGGACGAUCAGCCACACUGGGACUGAGACACGGCCCAGGCUCCUACGGGAGGCAGCAGUGGGGAAUUUUGGACAAUGGGGGCAACCCUGAUCCAGCAAUGCCGCGUGAGUGAAGAAGGCCUUCGGGUUGUAAAGCUCUUUUGUCAGGGAAGAAACACCGGCUCUAACACAGUCUGGGAAUGACGGUACCUGAAGAAUAAGCACCGGCUAACUACGUGCCAGCCGCCGCCGUAA
Molecule: ribosomal RNA, 501 nt
Filed under: uncultured bacterium
Lineage: Bacteria
Description: partial 16S ribosomal RNA
Rfam family: Bacterial small subunit ribosomal RNA
Source: RNAcentral